RNAcentral lists this ribosomal RNA (252 nucleotides) under uncultured bacterium. RNAcentral describes it as "partial 16S ribosomal RNA". It matches the Rfam family "Bacterial small subunit ribosomal RNA", at positions 524 to 776 of the family's 1533-position model. The record is from RNAcentral.
UACGUAGGUCCCGAGCGUUAUCCGGAUUUAUUGGGCGUAAAGCGAGCGCAGGCGGUUAGAUAAGUCUGAAGUGAAAGGCUGUGGCUUAACCAUAGUAUGCUUUGGAAACUGUACAACUUGAGUGCAGAAGGGGAGAGUGGAAUUCCAUGUGUAGCGGUGAAAUGCGUAGAUAUAUGGAGGAACACCGGUGGCGAAAGCGGCUCUCUGGUCUGUAACUGACGUUGAGGUUCGAAAGUGUGGGUAGCAAACAGG